UCAGACAUGGUGUAGGGGGAACACAGCCUUUAGUUAUAGGUCGUAGGCCCCGAUUUUCAGAGGCAGUCCAGGGUUCAAGUCCCUGUGUCUGAA
Non-coding RNA from Mycena vulgaris, 93 nucleotides. The record is from the annotation of a GenBank genome assembly. NCBI's taxonomy places the organism in Eukaryota, Fungi, Basidiomycota, Agaricomycetes, Agaricales, Mycenaceae.